UCCAAAUUGGUGUAGUGGCUAACAUUUGACGUUCUCAGAGUCGAAAGACGUUGAAGUUGUCAAGCUCGGGGUUCGAUUCCCUGAUUUGGAG
Molecule: transfer RNA, 91 nt
Filed under: Hypoxylon rubiginosum
Lineage: Eukaryota; Fungi; Ascomycota; Sordariomycetes; Xylariales; Hypoxylaceae
Description: tRNA-Glu
Source: RNAcentral